GACAGAGGGAAGCCACCAAACCAAAGCAGGGCUUAGCCUAGACUUUUUGCAAAGUGGGGCUUGAGUGUCUGACCAUAGGCUGGCAUGGCUACCUCCAUCAUUGUUUCUUCUGCAGCUGAAUAGGCUGGCAGGCAGCCUGAAAUGGGGACCUGCUCAGAAGACCCCCACCCCUGCUGGGCAUCCCGGCUCCUCGGACUCAUCAGUCUCUUUCUCAAGCCUAUACCCAGUCCUGAGAUUCUGGCUGGGCCACGAUCCAUCACACCAGGCUGGUGCAAUGUCACCCUGGAGUGUGGGCCCAGAGGAGCCACAAAGGACCUGAAUGUGACCUGGAAGAGGGAGUACGCCUCUGAGAAGGUGGAGCAGACAGGGACACUGGGACCUGCCUCAAACUCCCACACCCUGGCUGUGAGGCUGCCCCUGAGGCAGCCCUACUCCAGUAUCACCUGCGUGGUCAGCAACCAGAUGGACCAGAAAACUGCUACCGUAGGUCUUGGGGAAGUCUGUGCCCAUGGUUCUCAAGGACUGCCCAUUGCUGGCUCCCUAGGAGCCAUUGUGGUUCUGCUGCUGAUCCUGGGAUCUGGACUGUGUUUUUGGAAGAAAUGUGGAAAGAAGAAGAUAGAGAUGAGAAGAGGUGCAGGAUCACCAGAGGACCAAAAAGAUGAUGACAGCAUCCAGUAUGUGGAGCUGAACCAGCAGGAAUCUCAAGAGGGCUUGUACAUGGGUGUCAGUGAACAACAUUCAGGGCCUCUCACUACUAUCUACAGUGAAGUCUGUAAGCCAGGCCAUGCUAUGAAGAUAAUUUAA
RNAcentral lists this long non-coding RNA (804 nucleotides) under Sus scrofa (pig). RNAcentral describes it as "lncRNA (ENSSSCG00035015380.1)". Lineage: Eukaryota; Metazoa; Chordata; Mammalia; Artiodactyla; Suidae. The record is from RNAcentral.